This 484-nucleotide ribosomal RNA is filed under the name uncultured bacterium. Its description in RNAcentral is "partial 16S ribosomal RNA". It matches the Rfam family "Bacterial small subunit ribosomal RNA", at positions 30 to 507 of the family's 1533-position model. The record is from RNAcentral.
AUUGAACGCUAGCGGGAUGCUUUACACAUGCGAGUCGAACGGCAGCGCGGACUUCGGUCUGGCGGCGAGUGGCGAACGGGUGAGUAAUGUAUCGGAACGUGCCCAGUAGCGGGGGAUAACUACGCGAAAGCGUAGCUAAUACCGCAUACGCCCUACGGGGGAAAGCAGGGGAUCGUAAGACCUUGCACUAUUGGAGCGGCCGAUAUCGGAUUAGCUAGUUGGUGAGGUAACGGCUCACCAAGGCGACGAUCCGUAGCUGGUUUGAGAGGACGACCAGCCACACUGGGACUGAGACACGGCCCAGACUCCUACAGGAGGCAGCAGUGGGGAAUUUUGGACAAUGGGGGCAACCCUGAUCCAGCCAUCCCGCGUGUGCGAUGAAGGCCUUCGGGUUGUAAAGCACUUUUGGCAGGAAAGAAACGUCGCGGGCUAAUACCCCGUGGAACUGACGGUACCUGCAGAAUAAGCACCGGCUAACUACGUG